Long non-coding RNA from Struthio camelus australis, 2480 nucleotides. NCBI's taxonomy places the organism in Eukaryota, Metazoa, Chordata, Aves, Struthioniformes, Struthionidae. The record is from Ensembl.
CUAGCUCUGUGGAUUCUUAUCAAGUUCAGUUGUCCAGUGUUGUAAAUUGUUGCUGUUUUGUUUUUACAGGGUGGAUCAUACUCCUCACAAAACUAUGGUGAUAGCCAAGUAAGUAGUAGGUUUUUAUUUCCUCCCACUGAGGUUGUGCUUUACAAGGUUCCAUUAUCUCUGUUCAAAAUUAGCUCUGUAAUGUUGUAAUAUUUAUUCUAAUUUUGUUUGUUUUGCAGAGUGGCUCAUCAUCUUCACAACAUUAUGGUGGCAGCCAGAACUAUGGAGGUGGCCAAGGUGGAUCAUCCUCUUCAGACAGCUAUAGUGAUAAUCAGGAUUCACAGGUUUCUUCAGAUGAUAAUCCCAAUGCUUGUGAUGAUAAUGACACUACAUAUAGUGCUAAUGGUCAGAGUUCUGGUUGUUCAAACAGAAAGAUUGUUGUUGCACGCGACACAUCACAUGUUUUGAGCAAAAGAGACUAUGAUGUACAGAAUGGAUCUUCUACUUCAAAUGGCAACCACACCAACCUCCAGGAUGGAUCCUUUAUUGCAACCGGUGGUGGAUCAAGUAGCCAGGGUGGUUGCAUUUGUCCUGAUGGAAGCAGUGGAAUUAGACAGGGAGCGCCAGGUUCUUCACACAGCACGUACUCUGGUAACCAGGGGGGACCUUCCUUCUAUCCUGGUGGAUCUCAUGGACAGGGCGAGUCUUCUGUCUAUGACAGCAGCAGCGAAUCCUAUGGUCAGGAUGGACCUUCCACAUACGAUAUUGGUGGACCUUAUGGUGAGGAUUCACCUCCCGUAGGAGGCGAUGAAUCUGAUGAAAGUGAUUCCCCCACACCAUCUGGCAGCCAGCAUAGUGGAGCGGCGUCAUCUUCUCAUGGUGGUAGUUACUCCAGUCGACAGGACUCAUCUUCAUCAGGAAGCAGCCAGUAUGGUGGGCAGGGUUCACCUUCUUCAGGAGGCGGCCAGUCUGGUGGACAGAGUGGAUGUGAUUGUUCUGGGGGGACCUCUAGUGGAUCUCCUACCUUAGCCAGAAGUGAUUCCUCUGCAAAUGGUUCAUCAUCUUCUGGAGGCAGCCAGCACAACAGCCAAGGUUCCUAUUCUGGAGCUAGCCAGUAUGGAGAACGUGGAUCAUCAUCUUACGGAGGCAGCAGUUACAGUGGACAAGGUUCACCCUCUUCAGGAGGAAGCCAGCAUGGUGGGCAGGGUUCACAUUUCUCAGGAGGCAGCCAGUAUGGUGGACAGGGUCCGUAUUUCUCAGGUGGCAGCCAUUAUGGAGGACAGGGCUCACCUUCUUCAGGAGGCGGCCAGUCUGGUGGACAGGUAUGCUUUUCUUUCUCCACAGCAUUCAGUUAUGCAAAUAUCAGUCACUCUCAGUUUACCUUGAGCAUUUUUCCUUCACAAAGGAAGGAUUACCCAUCUCAUGCAGAUUGAAUGUAAAAAGUGAAGUACCAAAUGGUGAGCUACUGGCCACCUCUCAGUUAGUUGCCUCAGGGUAGAAAGCACUUGGUAGUCCUCCGCUGGAAGUCAUCUUUAGUGUUUUCCAUAAUAUCUGUGGCAUGAAAGAAUACUGCAGGUAGUCCAGGUGCUCUGGCUUCUUUAAGGAAAAAACAAUUACAUGUUCCAUAGUACUGCUCAGAACUUUUUACACUGUUUUGAUGUGUAGGGCCGUAACUUUAAGUGAGAAAUUAGAAGACCAUAUUUAAGCAUUAGAUCAGUAAGUGUACAGCUAUACUGAAAGGAAGGUGAAGGGAGAGAGAAAGAAACUACUUUCUAGAUGGAACUUGAUGAGUCUAUGAGCAAGAUUUUAUGAUCUGUUUUCUUGCAAUAGCAGGGUUUAAGUUUGAUUUGCUAAUUCAAAGGCCUCUUCUAGUCAUGCACUCUCUAGAAAAUUAGUUUGGUUUUGUGUUACACAGGGUGGAUGUCUGUGUCCUGGUGGAAGUUCAGGCUCUUCUGGAGGAAGCAGCUACCAUGGUGGACAGGUAAGCAGUAUUUCUUCAGCAUUUAUACAGAUUCAGUCAUAUCCUUUUAUAAAGUCUCUGCUGAAUUUACUAGAGACCAGAUUUUACUUUGCAGUUUUAUAAGUCUGCUUAACUGGAAAUAACAUGUAAGGAAAGUUCACCGGAUUCAUUCCAUUGCAUAAACUGUUAAUAUGGUUUCCUGAUAAGUAGCCAUUUUCCUUUGUAUUAAUAACUGUGUAAGGAUUUUCCAGUUGAUGUCAUGAUUGUUGAUGUCAUGAUGUUGUUGAUCAAUGUUUCCACAUUGAUGUCAUGAUUGUUGUUUAAAUUAGGUCCAAUUUUUUUGGUGCCAGUUGAUACUUAAAAAAAUAAUUUACAAAAGUUGAGUUUCACAUUUUUUUUGCAGGGUUCAUCUUAUUCUGGAAGCAGUCAGUAUGGUGGACAGGUAAGCAACUCUUCGUUUUUAAGGUCUUCUUCCUACAAGCUAUUUAUUAAAUGAAAAAUAUGAUGCAGUGGGUUUACUGACAGUUUUUUC